CAUAUCAAUAAGCGGAAGGAAAAGAAACCAACAGGGAUUGCCCUAGUAACGGCGAGUGAAGCGGCAACAGCUCAAAUUUGAAAUCUGGCGCAAGCCCGAGUUGUAAUUUGUAGAGGAUGCUUCUGGGCAGCGGCCGUUCUAAGUUCCUUGGAACAGGACGUCAUAGAGGGUGAGAAUCCCGUAUGUGACCGGCGCGCACCCUCCACGUAGCUCCUUCGACGAGUCGAGUUGUUUGGGAAUGCAGCUCUAAAUGGGAGGUAAAUUUCUUCUAAAGCUAAAUACCGGCCAGAGACCGAUAGCGCACAAGUAGAGUGAUCGAAAGAUGAAAAGCACUUUGGAAAGAGAGUUAAAAAGCACGUGAAAUUGUUGAAAGGGAAGCGCUCACAACCAGACUUCGCAGCGGUGUUCCGCCGGUCUUCUGACCGGUCCACUCGCCGCCGCGAGGCCAACAUCAUCUGGGGCCGCCGGAUAAGACCGCAGGAAUGUGGCUCCCCUCGGGGAGUGUUAUAGCCUGCGGUGAUGCGGCGAGUCCCGGGUGAGGUCCGCACUUCGGUAAGGAUGUUGGCGUAAUGGUUGUCAGCGGCCCGUCUUGAAACACGGACCAAGGAGUCUAACAUCUAUGCGAGUGUUCGGGUGUCAAACCCCUACGCGUAAUGAAAGUGAACGGAGGUGGGAACGCAAGUGCACCAUCGACCGAUCCUGAUGUCCUCGGAUGGAUUUGAGUAAGAGCAUAGCUGUUGGGACCCGAAAGAUGGUGAACUAUGCCUGAAUAGGGUGAAGCCAGAGGAAACUCUGGUGGAGGCUCGCAGCGGUUCUGACGUGCAAAUCGAUCGUCAAAUUUGGGUAUAGGGGCGAAAGACUAAUCGAACCAUCUAGUAGCUGGUUCCUGCGAU
Molecule: ribosomal RNA, 893 nt
Filed under: Xenosonderhenia eucalypti
Lineage: Eukaryota; Fungi; Ascomycota; Dothideomycetes; Mycosphaerellales; Mycosphaerellaceae
Description: LSU rRNA
Rfam family: Eukaryotic large subunit ribosomal RNA
Source: RNAcentral